Parelaphostrongylus tenuis is the source of this 76-nucleotide non-coding RNA. The record is from the annotation of a GenBank genome assembly. NCBI's taxonomy places the organism in Eukaryota, Metazoa, Nematoda, Chromadorea, Rhabditida, Metastrongylidae.
GACCCAUAUCAUGGUGUAGUGGUAGAACGCGCUCCCGUUAUGAGUGAAACGUGGGUUCAUUUCCCAUCUGAGGUUG